CAAUAGCGUAUAUUAAAGUUGUUGCAGUUAAAAAGCUCGUAGUUGGAUUUCUGGUAGGAGCGACCGUGCCGAACUUGAUUGUUCGGGUAUUGUGUUGUCUUCAGCCAUCCUCGUGGAGAACUUUUCUAACAUUAACUUGUUGGGAUUGGGACCCGCGUCGUUUACUGUGAAAAAAUUAGAGUGUUUAAAGCAGGCAUUAGCUUGAAUACAUUAGCAUGGAAUAAUAAGAUAGGACUUUGGUACCAUUUUGUUGGUUUGCAUACCAAAUUAAUGAUCAACAGGAACAGUUUGAGGAUAUUCGUAUGAACAUGUCAGAGGUGAAAUUCUUGGAUUUUGAUCAGACGAACUACUGCGAAAGCAUUUAUCAAGGAUGUUUUCAUUAA
This 383-nucleotide ribosomal RNA is filed under the name uncultured eukaryote. RNAcentral's name for it is "partial 18S ribosomal RNA". It matches the Rfam family "Eukaryotic small subunit ribosomal RNA", at positions 592 to 976 of the family's 1831-position model. The record is from RNAcentral.